Bubalus bubalis (water buffalo) is the source of this 387-nucleotide long non-coding RNA. RefSeq lists it as uncharacterized. The transcript is spliced from 2 exons. The record is from RefSeq and is a predicted model, not a curated record. NCBI's taxonomy places the organism in Eukaryota, Metazoa, Chordata, Mammalia, Artiodactyla, Bovidae.
AACCAAUGUGAAAACAUUCACUUUAUAUCAUUUUAUUUCAGCUUCUAGGCUAAGGGCUGUGAUACACUGACACAAUCCACAAAAGUCAAAACUCAGUUCGUUGGAAGGAAACAGAUUAUCAUUUAAGACACAGAACCUGAUGGAUAAUUCUGGAAGUUAAUGCUGCGGAGUCACAAGAAGGGUGAAAACCCUUCACAACUCAUGAUCAAGGAGGGGAGAUCUCACAGCCCUGCCCUGUGCAGUGGAAACAGGUAUGGUGAGGCUGACACUGCCUGACGGAAGCCCUCGGGUGGCUGAAACACCAAGAACACUGCCCUCCACGGUCAUCUCAACUGGCAAUCGGCUUUGCGUGAGAAAGAAAAAUAAACCUUGAUGUGUUAACUGCAA